UACAGCCUGGAAAACUUGCAGC
RNAcentral lists this microRNA (22 nucleotides) under Anolis carolinensis (green anole). RNAcentral's name for it is "aca-miR-9572-3p". Lineage: Eukaryota; Metazoa; Chordata; Lepidosauria; Squamata; Anolidae. The record is from miRBase by way of RNAcentral.